This 398-nucleotide ribosomal RNA is filed under the name uncultured bacterium. RNAcentral's name for it is "bacterial SSU rRNA". It matches the Rfam family "Bacterial small subunit ribosomal RNA", at positions 28 to 412 of the family's 1533-position model. The record is from RNAcentral.
GACGAACGCUGGCGGCGUGCCUAAUACAUGCAAGUCGAGCGGAAUGAUGAAGAAGCUUGCUUCUUCUGAUUUUAGCGGCGGACGGGUGAGUAACACGUGGGCAACCUACCUUGUAGAUUGGGAUAACUCCGGGAAACCGGGGCUAAUACCGAAUAAUCCAUUUUGCUUCAUGGCGAGAUGUUGAAAGGCGGCUUCGGCUGUCACUACGAGAUGGGCCCGCGGCGUAUUAGCUAGUUGGUAGGGUAAUGGCCUACCAAGGCGACGAUACGUAGCCGACCUGAGAGGGUGAUCGGCCACACUGGGACUGAGACACGGCCCAGACUCCUACGGGAGGCAGCAGUAGGGAAUCUUCCACAAUGGACGAAAGUCUGAUGGAGCAACGCCGCGUGAGUGAAGAA